Molecule: long non-coding RNA, 222 nt
Filed under: Marmota monax (woodchuck)
Lineage: Eukaryota; Metazoa; Chordata; Mammalia; Rodentia; Sciuridae
Source: RNAcentral
CAUGCUAAUGGGACCUGCUCUCUUCCCUAGGGUGGUGAAGUUCCGUCGCACAGGCGAGAGCGCGAGGUCAGAGGACGACGCGGCCUCGGGAGAGCAUGAGGUCCAGAUUGAAGGGGUCCGGGGGGGCCUAGAGGCGGUCGAGCUGGACGAUGGGGCGGCCGUGCCCAAGGAGUUCGCCAAUCCCACCGACGGUGAGCGAGCCGGGCCACUCGGGCAUCAGAC